AUUUAUAUAGUUUAAUUCAAAACAUUACAUUUUCAAUGUAAAAUUAAAUCAUUUUUAUAAAUA
This 63-nucleotide transfer RNA is filed under the name Pseudabris przewalskyi. Its description in RNAcentral is "tRNA-Glu". The record is from RNAcentral. Lineage: Eukaryota; Metazoa; Arthropoda; Insecta; Coleoptera; Meloidae.